UACGUAGGGUGCGAGCGUUAAUCGGAAUUACUGGGCGUAAAGCGUGCGCAGGCGGUUCGCCAAGUCAGGUGUGAAAUCCCCGGGCUUAACCUGGGAAUUGCGCUUGAAACUAGCGGGCUUGAGUGUGGCAGAGGGGGGUGGAAUUCCACGUGUAGCAGUGAAAUGCGUAGAGAUGUGGAGGAACACCGAUGGCGAAGGCAGCCCCCUGGGUCAACACUGACGCCUCAUGCACGAAAGCGUGGGGAGCAAACAGG
RNAcentral lists this ribosomal RNA (254 nucleotides) under uncultured bacterium. RNAcentral's name for it is "partial 16S ribosomal RNA". It matches the Rfam family "Bacterial small subunit ribosomal RNA", at positions 524 to 776 of the family's 1533-position model. The record is from RNAcentral.